This 30-nucleotide non-coding RNA is filed under the name Mus musculus (house mouse). Lineage: Eukaryota; Metazoa; Chordata; Mammalia; Rodentia; Muridae. The record is from RNAcentral.
UUGUUAAUCAGUGUACAGGUCCUCAACCUU